This 431-nucleotide ribosomal RNA is filed under the name uncultured bacterium. RNAcentral's name for it is "bacterial SSU rRNA". It matches the Rfam family "Bacterial small subunit ribosomal RNA", at positions 32 to 507 of the family's 1533-position model. The record is from RNAcentral.
AACGCUGGCGGCAGGCUUAACACAUGCAAGUCGAGCGGGCGUAGCAAUACGUCAGCGGCAGACGGGUGAGUAACGCGUGGGAACGUACCUUUUGGUUCGGAACAACACAGGGAAACUUGUGCUAAUACCGGAUAAGCCCUUACGGGGAAAGAUUUAUCGCCGAAAGAUCGGCCCGCGUCUGAUUAGCUAGUUGGUAGGGUAAUGGCCUACCAAGGCGACGAUCAGUAGCUGGUCUGAGAGGAUGAUCAGCCACAUUGGGACUGAGACACGGCCCAAACUCCUACGGGAGGCAGCAGUGGGGAAUAUUGGACAAUGGGGGCAACCCUGAUCCAGCCAUGCCGCGUGAGUGAUGAAGGCCCUAGGGUUGUAAAGCUCUUUUGUGCGGGAAGAUAAUGACGGUACCGCAAGAAUAAGCCCCGGCUAACUUCGUG